Non-coding RNA from Podarcis lilfordi (Lilford's wall lizard), 79 nucleotides. The record is from the annotation of a GenBank genome assembly. NCBI's taxonomy places the organism in Eukaryota, Metazoa, Chordata, Lepidosauria, Squamata, Lacertidae.
ACCAGGCCCAAUAGAAGCUCAGUUAGUAGAGCAUGAGACUCUUAAUCUCGGGUGAUGAGUUCAAGCCCUGCGUUUGAUG